CAUAGCUAAUUUAAUGAUGGCUGGGCAACUGACCAAAUGGAAUCAGUAAGAUUAUCUCCUUAGGAAAUUUGAAUUUGGAACUCAGGGAUUCUACUGAGUCCCAUUACUUUUGUUAAUCCGAGGAUAUGUUAAUCCAAGAAUUGAUAGGACUAGCAGAAAGCUCAGAGGAACAAAGAAAGUUGUUUUGAACAAAGAAGAAUGAUUCUGCAAGAGAGGAAUUAUCUCAAACAAGAACUGAGAAAGUCUGCAAGUAAACAUAAGAAAUACAGCGUUUCUAAGACACUGACUAUUUUGGAUGUGGUCAAAUGUACCAUUUACCUAUAGAUAUGAAAUCAUGGGGAGCUACAUCAAAACCUGCU
Molecule: long non-coding RNA, 359 nt
Organism: Hyaena hyaena (striped hyena)
Lineage: Eukaryota; Metazoa; Chordata; Mammalia; Carnivora; Hyaenidae
Exons: 3
Source: RefSeq, a predicted model, not a curated record